This 505-nucleotide ribosomal RNA is filed under the name uncultured bacterium. Its description in RNAcentral is "partial 16S ribosomal RNA". It matches the Rfam family "Bacterial small subunit ribosomal RNA", at positions 28 to 507 of the family's 1533-position model. The record is from RNAcentral.
GACGAACGCUGGCGGCGUGCCUAAUACAUGCAAGUCGAACGCACAGUUUAUACCGUAGCUUGCUACACCAUAGACUGUGAGUUGCGAACGGGUGAGUAACGCGUAGGUAACCUGCCUGGUAGCGGGGGAUAACUAUUGGAAACGAUAGCUAAUACCGCAUAAUAUUAAUUAUUGCAUGAUAAUUAAUUGAAAGGUGCAAUUGCACCACUACCAGAUGGACCUGCGUUGUAUUAGCUAGUAGGUGAGGUAACGGCUCACCUAGGCGACGAUACAUAGCCGACCUGAGAGGGUGAUCGGCCACACUGGGACUGAGACACGGCCCAGACUCCUACGGGAGGCAGCAGUAGGGAAUCUUCGGCAAUGGACGAAAGUCUGACCGAGCAACGCCGCGUGAGUGAAGAAGGUUGUCGGAUCGUAAAGCUCUGUUGUAAGAGAAGAACGGGUGUGAGAGUGGAAAGUUCACACUGUGACGGUAUCUUACCAGAAAGGGACGGCUAACUACGUG